RNAcentral lists this ribosomal RNA (119 nucleotides) under Pteropus alecto (black flying fox). Lineage: Eukaryota; Metazoa; Chordata; Mammalia; Chiroptera; Pteropodidae. The record is from RNAcentral.
GUCUACGGCCAUGCCACCCUGAACAAGCCCAAUCCCGUCUGAUCUCAGAAGCUAAGCAGGGUCGGGCCUGGUUAUUACUUGGAUGGGAGACCAUCUAGGAAGACCAGGUGCUGUAGGUG